AUACGUAGGGGGCGAGCGUUGUCCGGAAUGACUGGGCGUAAAGGGCGCGUAGGCGGCGGUGUAAGUCUGGAGUGAAAGUCCCGCAUUCAAUGUGGGAAUUGCUUUGGAUACUGCAGUGCUAGAGUGCGGAAGAGGUAAGUGGAAUUCCCAGUGUAGCGGUGAAAUGCGUAGAGAUUGGGAGGAACACCAGUGGCGAAGGCGACUUACUGGGCCGUAACUGACGCUGAGGCGCGAAAGCGUGGGGAGCGAACAGGAUUAGAUACCCUGGUAGUCCACGCGGUAAACGAUGAAUGCUAGGUGUUGCGGGUAUCGACCCCUGCAGUGCCGGAGUAAACACAAUAAGCAUUCCGCCUGGGGAGUACGGCCGCAAGGUUGAAACUCAAAUGAAUUGGCGGGG
RNAcentral lists this ribosomal RNA (397 nucleotides) under uncultured bacterium. RNAcentral's name for it is "partial 16S ribosomal RNA". It matches the Rfam family "Bacterial small subunit ribosomal RNA", at positions 523 to 918 of the family's 1533-position model. The record is from RNAcentral.